Long non-coding RNA from Daktulosphaira vitifoliae (grape phylloxera), 302 nucleotides. RefSeq lists it as uncharacterized. NCBI's taxonomy places the organism in Eukaryota, Metazoa, Arthropoda, Insecta, Hemiptera, Phylloxeridae. The record is from RefSeq and is a predicted model, not a curated record. The transcript is spliced from 3 exons.
GUUUUACUGUCUUGGUAAUUGUCGGAAGCAGCCAGAAUCAAUUCGUACUACGUUACACACAUGCAAAACAUACACUGGGGUGUCAUUAAGAUUAAUUAUUCGUUAUAUAGGAUGACUAAAAAAAUCGUGCUAUAUAUUAAUGGAUGUCGAACAUGCCAGUGGUAUGGAAAAACAUGCUACAUGCAACGAUCAUGAUGGGACAGGGGAUAUUAUCGAACAGCGGACCUGUAAUACGCGUUUAGGUAAAUUGCGGUCGUCUUCUUCCGUGAUCUGUGUCCUGUAAGUUGGCCGUUCGAACACCG